Molecule: ribosomal RNA, 253 nt
Filed under: uncultured bacterium
Lineage: Bacteria
Description: partial 16S ribosomal RNA
Rfam family: Bacterial small subunit ribosomal RNA
Source: RNAcentral
UACGUAGGGGGCUAGCGUUGUCCGGAAUCAUUGGGCGUAAAGCGCGCGUAGGCGGCCAGAUAAGUCCGGUGUGAAAGUCAAAGGCUCAACCUUUGAAUGCCGCUGGAAACUGUCUGGCUUGAGUCCGGAAGGGGCGAGUGGAAUUCCUGGUGUAGCGGUGAAAUGCGCAGAUAUCAGGAGGAACACCAAUUGCGAAGGCAGCUCGCUGGACCGUAACUGACGCUGAGACGCGAAAGCUAGGGGAGCAAACGGG